UUUUUUUUCUGUUUUUCCUUAUCUUUUCAGUCGUAUCCAUGAAACGCGUCCCUGGUGUCUCCACUCCUUGAUUCCGAACUACUGGAAUCCUGGGGGCAACCGUGUGCUUUUUAGACUGGACAGGCUCUUUUAUCUGUUUUGCAUCCGCUUUUAAACUCGAGGUCGCCGUUUUCCUGAGGAGUGAAUAAUAGUCCCCGGCACGCCGGGCGGCGGCAGCAAUAGGCGGACGCGCUCGUCCUCCGGUUCUGCGGGGCUACGGCCGCCUCGGGGACCGGCGCCGGGAGGAGCCGUCCCCCCGCUCCGGGCACCGGCACCUCCGGGCCAGGAGCCCCGAGCGCGGCGGGCCGGGCGGGCUGGACGCGGGGGCUGCGGGCGGCUCCCGGAGCUGCCCCGGUGCGGCCGCUGCCGGCGGGAGCUCCGCAGCAGAGCGGGCCCGGCGGCUCUCGGCGGCAGCCUCUGGUCCGGCACUCGCAGGGUUGAGCUCUGGCCAAGGGACUGCGGGAUGGGGCACGGGGCGGUGGGAAACCAGCUCGGGGAUCUUUGCUGCCAGGAGCAGCGUGCAGCAGCUGCGUGUUGUUUCCAUUCUCACCGGCUUCGGUGUUGGGGAGCUUUGGAAGGCGAGGGAUUAACGGAGAGCUGAAGGCCGCAGUUGCUUGUCUUUAUUCCCGUUUUGAGAGACCGUGUUUGCCAAUUCAUUUGAGGUGUUUACACCCCUGAAGUUCUCUUAUGAAUCUUUCCUGUGUCCGACUGUAACUGUUUCAAGACAGACAAGAUAAUGUACCAAGGUCCAUGUCUUUGUAACUAUGCAGGGUGGUUAGAAGUAUUAAUCUGUUUUCUUGGAAGUUUUUGCUUUUUCCUUUCCUUGCAGGCUUUUCAGAUGUCUUUUCAGAAGAACUGCAUCUGGAGCACUAUGACAGCAAACAAUAUAUUUGGGAAAUAUAUAGAUGCUAUUGAACUGUUAGCAGAACAGUGGGAAAAUUGGUUGAUUCAGUGGAAAGCUUCAAUAGCAGUAGCAAAAACAGCUUUGGUAAGUAUUCACAAAUGGCAACAUGUCUCUGUGCCUGAUGUCAUUUUUUUAUGAAGUAAUUUACACUGAUGUUUUUU
This 1104-nucleotide long non-coding RNA is filed under the name Parus major (Great Tit). RNAcentral's name for it is "lncRNA (ENSPMJG00000000691.1)". The record is from RNAcentral. Lineage: Eukaryota; Metazoa; Chordata; Aves; Passeriformes; Paridae.